Non-coding RNA from Trichobilharzia regenti, 45 nucleotides. The record is from Rfam. Lineage: Eukaryota; Metazoa; Platyhelminthes; Trematoda; Strigeidida; Schistosomatidae.
AUCCAAUUGACGAGUCCGAAAUGGGGAGAAAUGCGCAUCCUGGAU